Molecule: long non-coding RNA, 377 nt
Organism: Mesoplodon densirostris (Blainville's beaked whale)
Lineage: Eukaryota; Metazoa; Chordata; Mammalia; Artiodactyla; Ziphiidae
Exons: 3
Source: RefSeq, a predicted model, not a curated record
UUUCACGCCCCUUGGAAGCAGCCUGUCCAAGCAGCUCAGCGCCGCGGCUCACCCCCGUCGGCCCCCUGCGGCCCAGAAGUCCUCGCUGUGUCUUCUCCUUGUCCCUGUUGUCUCUGAAUUCUUCCUGCGACAAGAUGAGAACCUGUUUUCUGAAGCCCCGAACUCAACGGCCCAAUUGGAGUGUGUCUGUGGGUUGUCUCCCAAUCCCUUGCUUGGAGAUCUGGGCGGCGCAGUGGGCUUUGGAGCAGCUGGGAAGAGCAGAGAGCUGUGGAGGCCCUCCUUGCUGGGCCCAGAGCACGUCCCUAUCCACUGCCCUUGUAGCAGCCUCCGUGCACUAAAUGAAAGUGGGAUUUAGUGUCUGUAAGUAAUAUUUUAGC